Molecule: ribosomal RNA, 493 nt
Filed under: uncultured Sphingobacteriales bacterium
Lineage: Bacteria; Pseudomonadati; Bacteroidota; Sphingobacteriia; Sphingobacteriales
Description: bacterial SSU rRNA
Rfam family: Bacterial small subunit ribosomal RNA
Source: RNAcentral
AGCCCGCUCAGAAACUUAAAGGAAUUGACGGGGCCCGCGACAAGCGGUGGAGCAUGUGGUUUAAUUCGAUGAUACGCGAGGAACCUUACCUGGGCUCAAAUGUAUGUUGACGUAUUCUGAAAGGGAUACUUCUUCGGACAAUAUACAAGGUGCUGCAUGGUUGUCGUCAGCUCGUGCCGUGAGGUGUCGGGUUAAGUCCCAUAACGAGCGCAACCCCUAUCAUUAGUUGCCAUCAAGUCAAGCUGGGGACUCUAAUGAAACUGCCUACGCAAGUAGUGAGGAAGGUGGGGAUGACGUCAAAUCAGCACGGCCCUUACGUCCAGGGCUACACACGUGCUACAAUGGCCGGUACAAAGGGCAGCUACCUGGUGACAGGAUGCUAAUCUCAAAAGCCGAUCGUAGUCCGGAUCGCAGUCUGCAACUCGACUGCGUGAAGUCGGAAUCGCUAGUAAUCGUGAAUCAGAAUGUCACGGUGAAUACGUUCCCGGGCCUU